UCGAAUCUCCCUGGAAGCU
This 19-nucleotide small nuclear RNA is filed under the name Phaeodactylum tricornutum CCAP 1055/1. RNAcentral describes it as "snRNA PTsRNA00026a". The record is from RNAcentral. Lineage: Eukaryota; Bacillariophyta; Bacillariophyceae; Surirellales; Neidiaceae.